Small nuclear RNA from Tupaia belangeri (northern tree shrew), 105 nucleotides. NCBI's taxonomy places the organism in Eukaryota, Metazoa, Chordata, Mammalia, Scandentia, Tupaiidae. The record is from Ensembl.
GUGCUUGCUUCGGCAGCACAUACACGAAAACCUGAAACGCUGCAGAGAUUAGCACGUCCCCUGUGCAAGGAGGACGCACACUUGCGUGAAGUGUUCCAUAUUUUC